UACGAAGGGUGCAAGCGUUACUCGGAAUUACUGGGCUUAAAGGGCGCGUAGGCGGCCUGACAAGUUGGGUGUGAAAUACCUCGGCUCAACCGAGGAACAGCGCUCAAAACUGUUAGGCUUGAGGGAGAUAGAGGUGAGCGGAACUUAAGGUGGAGCGGUGAAAUGCGUUGAUAUCUUAAGGAACACCCGUGGCGAAAGCGGCUCACUGGAUCUCUUCUGACGCUGAUGCACGAAAGCUAGGGGAGCAAACGGG
RNAcentral lists this ribosomal RNA (253 nucleotides) under uncultured bacterium. Its description in RNAcentral is "partial 16S ribosomal RNA". It matches the Rfam family "Bacterial small subunit ribosomal RNA", at positions 524 to 776 of the family's 1533-position model. The record is from RNAcentral.